GGGAUCUGGACUGCAGCCUGGAGGCGGCGGCUGAGCUGAGGGCGGUGUGCGGCCUUGAUAAACUGAAAUGCCUUGAGGACGGUGAGGAUCCAGAAGUCAUUCCGGAGAAUACUGACCUGGUGACUUUGGGGGUUAGAAAAAGGUUCUUGGAACAUCGGGAAGAAACCAUUACAAUAGAUCGAGCCUGCAGACAAGAAACAUUCGUUUAUGAGAUGGUAAUUAAGAGUCUCAUCUUUUUCACCCUUUUCUCUUAAAACAGUAAACCGACAUUGGCUGAGGGUUAGUAAUGACAGUAUGGUAGCUUUAUACUGGAUAUGCUUAGUUGAAAACAAACUAGAGAAACUCCUUUGAGUCUGGGAACUAGUGAGAGAAGAGGACCCUUAGAACUCAAGUGACCACAUAU
This 403-nucleotide small RNA is filed under the name Pan troglodytes (chimpanzee). RNAcentral describes it as "processed transcript". Lineage: Eukaryota; Metazoa; Chordata; Mammalia; Primates; Hominidae. The record is from RNAcentral.